Molecule: transfer RNA, 87 nt
Filed under: Ochrobactrum sp. CM-21-5
Lineage: Bacteria; Pseudomonadati; Pseudomonadota; Alphaproteobacteria; Hyphomicrobiales; Brucellaceae
Description: tRNA-Leu
Rfam family: tRNA
About the family: Transfer RNA (tRNA) molecules are approximately 80 nucleotides in length. Their secondary structure includes four short double-helical elements and three loops (D, anti-codon, and T loops). Further hydrogen bonds mediate the characteristic L-shaped molecular structure. tRNAs have two regions of fundamental functional importance: the anti-codon, which is responsible for specific mRNA codon recognition, and the 3' end, to which the tRNAs corresponding amino acid is attached (by aminoacyl-tRNA synthetases). tRNAs cope with the degeneracy of the genetic code in two manners: having more than one tRNA (with a specific anti-codon) for a particular amino acid; and 'wobble' base-pairing, i.e. permitting non-standard base-pairing at the 3rd anti-codon position.
Source: RNAcentral
GCCCGCAUGGUGAAACUGGUAAACACUGCGGACUUAAAAUCCGCCGCCCGUAUGGGCUUGCCGGUUCGAGUCCGGCUGCGGGCACCA